Molecule: ribosomal RNA, 1073 nt
Filed under: uncultured dinoflagellate
Lineage: Eukaryota; Dinophyceae
Description: SSU rRNA
Rfam family: Eukaryotic small subunit ribosomal RNA
Source: RNAcentral
CGGUAAUUCCAGCUCCAAUAGCGUAUGUUAAAGUUGUUGCGGCUAAAAAGCUCGUAGUUGGAUUUCUGUUGAAGACGUCCGGUCCGCUCUAUGAGCGUGCAUCUGGUAUGGCUUUGGCAUCCGCACUAUACACGUGUCUGCGCUUGAUUGCGUGGCGCGGGGGUAGUGCCUUUUACUUUGAGGAAAUUAGAGUGUUCACGGCAGGCUUUCGCCUUGAAUAUAUUAGCAUGGAAUAAUAACAUAGGAUCUUGGUUCUAUUUUGUUGGUUUCUAGGGCUGAGAUAAUGAUUAAUAGGGACAAUUGGGGGCAUUCGUAUUGCGGUGUCAGAGGUGGAAUUCUUGGAUUACUGCACGACGAACUACUGCGAAAGCAUUUGCCAAGGAUGUUUUCAUUGAUCAAGAACGAAAGUAGGGGGAUCGAAGACGAUUAGAUACCGUCGUAGUCUUUACCAUAAACUAUGCCAACUAGAGAUGAGGCGUCGUUCUUAUAUGACUCGCUUCGCACCUUAUGAGAAAUCAAAGUUUUUGGGUUCCGGGGGGAGUAUGGUCGCAAGGCUGAAACUUAAAGGAAUUGACGGAAGGGCACCACCAGGAGUGGAGCCUGCGGCUUAAUUUGACUCAACACGGGGAAACUCACCAGGUCCAGACAUAGUAAGGAUUGACAGAUUGAUAGCUCUUUCUUGAUUUUAUGGGUGGUGGUGCAUGGCCGUUCUUAGUUGGUGGAGUGAUUUGUCUGCUUAAUUGCGUUAACGAACGAGACCUUAACCUGCUAAAUAGUCGGACCUAUCUCCGGAUAGAUCCCUGACUUCUUAGAGGGACUUUGUGUUUUUAAGCGCAAGGAAGUUUGAGGCAAAAACAGGUCUGUGAUGCCCUUAGAUGUUCUGGGCUGCACGCGCGCCACACUGAUGCGUUCCACGUGUCUACAACCUUAGCCGAUAGGCUUGGGUAAUCAUUUGAACACGCAUCGUGAUGGGGCUUGAUUAUUGCAAUUAUUAAUCAUAAACGAGGAAUUCCUAGUAGUGGCGCAUCAUCAGUGCGUCGCGAUUACGUCCCUGCCCCUUGUACACACCGCCC